RNAcentral lists this ribosomal RNA (440 nucleotides) under uncultured bacterium. RNAcentral describes it as "partial 16S ribosomal RNA". It matches the Rfam family "Bacterial small subunit ribosomal RNA", at positions 338 to 795 of the family's 1533-position model. The record is from RNAcentral.
CCUACGGGUGGCAGCAGUGGGGAAUAUUGCACAAUGGGGGAAACCCUGAUGCAGCGACGCCGCGUGAGUGAAGAAGUAAUUCGUUAUGUAAAGCUCUAUCAGCAGGGAAGAAAAUGACGGUACCUGAGUAAGAAGCCCCGGCUAACUACGUGCCAGCAGCCGCGGUAAUACGGAGGGGGCAAGCGUUAUCCGGAUUUACUGGGGGUAAAGGGAGCGUAGACGGAAGUGCAAGUCUGGAGUGAAAGGGGGGGGCUCAACCCCCGGACUGUUGUGGAAACGGUGCGGCUGGAGUGCAGGAGAGGGAAGUGGAAGGCCUAGUGUAGCGGUGAAAUGCGUAGAGAGUAGGAGGAAAACCAGUGGCGAAGGCGGCUUACUGGACUGUAACUGACGUUGAGGCGCGAAAGCGUGGGGAGCAAACAGGAUUAGAUACCCGAGUAGUC